RNAcentral lists this ribosomal RNA (466 nucleotides) under uncultured bacterium. Its description in RNAcentral is "partial 16S ribosomal RNA". It matches the Rfam family "Bacterial small subunit ribosomal RNA", at positions 28 to 505 of the family's 1533-position model. The record is from RNAcentral.
GACGAACGCUGGCGGCGUGCUUAACACAUGCAAGUCGAACGGAAAGGCCCUGCUUUUGUGGGGUGCUCGAGUGGCGAACGGGUGAGUAACACGUGAGUAACCUGCCCUUGACUUUGGGAUAACUUCAGGAAACUGGGGCUAAUACCGGAUAGGAGCUCCUGCUGCAUGGUGGGGGUUGGAAAGUUUCGGCGGUUGGGGAUGGACUCGCGGCUUAUCAGCUUGUUGGUGGGGUAGUGGCUUACCAAGGCUUUGACGGGUAGCCGGCCUGAGAGGGUGACCGGCCACAUUGGGACUGAGAUACGGACGAGACUCCUACGGGAGGCAGCAGUGGGGAAUAUUGCACAAUGGGCGGAAGUCUGAUGCAGCAACGCCGCGUGCGGGAUGAUGGCCUUAGGGUUGUAAAACGCUGUCGACUGUGACGAAGCGUGAGUGACGGGAAUGGGUAAAGAAGCACCGGAUAACUACG